AAAGAAAGCGUAAUAGCUCACUGGUCGAGUCGGCCUGCGCGGAAGAUGUAACGGGGCUAAACCAUGCACCGAAGCUGCGGCAGCGACACUCAGGUGUUGUUGGGUAGGGGAGCGUUCUGUAAGCCUGCGAAGGUGGCCUGUGAGGGUUGCUGGAGGUAUCAGAAGUGCGAAUGCUGACAUAAGUAACGAUAAAGCGGGUGAAAAGCUCGCUCGCCGGAAGACCAA
Molecule: ribosomal RNA, 225 nt
Filed under: Salmonella enterica subsp. enterica serovar Agona
Lineage: Bacteria; Pseudomonadati; Pseudomonadota; Gammaproteobacteria; Enterobacterales; Enterobacteriaceae
Description: partial 23S ribosomal RNA
Rfam family: Bacterial large subunit ribosomal RNA
Source: RNAcentral